UUCGCAAUGCCCGAAAGGGUGACGAAGCGACGCCGCGUGUGGGAAGAAGGCCUUCGGGUUGUAAACCACUGUCGGGAGUUAAGAAAUGUAAGGGUGUUAAUAGUAUCCUUACUUGACUAAGGCUCCGGAGGAAGCCACGGCUAACUCUGUGCCAGCAGCCGCGGUAAUACAGAGGCGGCAAGCGUUGUUCGGAAUUAUUGGGCGUAAAGAGCACGUAGGCGGCUAUGUAAGUCGGUUGUGAAAGCCUUCCGCUCAACGGAAGAACAGCAGUCGAUACUGCAUGGCUUGAGUGCGGGAGGGGAGAGCGGAACUUCUGGUGGAGCGGUGAAAUGCGUAGAUAUCAGAAGGAACGCCGGCGGCGAAAGCGACUCUCUGGCCCGUAACUGACGCUGAGGUGCGAAAGCUAGGGGAGCAAACGGGAUUAGAUACCCCGGUAGUCCUAGCCGUAAACGAUGGGCACUAAGUAGAGGGGUUUUA
RNAcentral lists this ribosomal RNA (477 nucleotides) under uncultured Planctomycetales bacterium. RNAcentral's name for it is "bacterial SSU rRNA". It matches the Rfam family "Bacterial small subunit ribosomal RNA", at positions 365 to 833 of the family's 1533-position model. Lineage: Bacteria; Pseudomonadati; Planctomycetota; Planctomycetia; Planctomycetales. The record is from RNAcentral.